This is a long non-coding RNA of Mustela erminea (ermine), 119 nucleotides long. RefSeq lists it as uncharacterized. The transcript has 2 exons. Lineage: Eukaryota; Metazoa; Chordata; Mammalia; Carnivora; Mustelidae. The record is from RefSeq and is a predicted model, not a curated record.
UGAAUCUAGAACACCUUAUUUGGAAAGCUGGUCUCUGAUAGAAAGAAGCAAAGUUGAAGCCCUGCAAGCUGAAGCUGUCCACCCUGAUGAUAUCACUAGAGGCAUUCAAACUGCAAACC